GAAUUUUAUUAAUGUUAACUUGAAAUAAUUUAAUUUUACAUUAAUUUUGUUGGGGGGAUGUUUAAAUUAUUUAAACUUUAAUUUUUUUUUUACUUUUAUUAAUGGUAUAAUAAAUUUGAAUGAUAUAAUUUUGUUUGUAUUAGAUUAAAUUACCUUAGGGAUAACAGCAUAAUAUCUUUGGAGAGUUCAUAUUGAUAAAGAUGAUUGU
Molecule: ribosomal RNA, 208 nt
Filed under: Neivamyrmex diana
Lineage: Eukaryota; Metazoa; Arthropoda; Insecta; Hymenoptera; Formicidae
Description: partial large subunit ribosomal RNA
Source: RNAcentral